CCUAUUUCAUCAACUUUAACACCCAAUUUCGAAGAAUUAAUGGUUGAUUCUUCAAUAAAAUGACGUAUUAAGGCCAUGAAACUUACCUCCAAUCACUUCCCGUCGAAAUCCCCUUCAAAAUCCGUCAACAAGCUCUCAAAUGGUGCAAAAAUGGAGGAAAUAUGAAAUACCUCGCGGAUGAAAUUUUUAUAAAACAUUAACUGCCCAGUGAUUUCCUUAGACGUGAUCGCAGCCCCAGGCUUGCGAUUGCAGAGAACAAAAACUGAAACUCCCGAAUUUACCCCUACGCGAUCGCACUCAGCUCCACGCGAUUGCAUUACUCCGCCUCCUAACCUUACCUGAACGCGGUCCUUCCCACGCGAUCGCAGAGAACAAUGACUUCCACCUACGUGAUUGCAUCUCCAACAAGGCGAUCGCAUUGAACAAAUUACUGGGCCCCUGACCACCCUCUUAUGCGAUCGCAAUGCCAUACCUGUGAUCGUAUAGAGCAAUUUUGCCCGCAACUGUUGUGCUAAAUUCUGCAACUUUUUCAAACCAAAAUCCUUCCGUUAGCCAUCCGAAAUCACCCCGAGGCCCCCGGGCCCCUCAACGAAAAGCACCAACAUGACCUAUUACCUCAUCCAAACUUGCUCGGGCCAUAAAAACACCAACAUUAACAUCAAAAAUCAUCAAAUUCCUCAACUUCAAGCCUAAGGCAAACUAGAACUUCAUCAAAUUCGCAUUCGAUCCAAAACCCGACCUAAACACUUCAAAAUGAUCUAAAAAUUUGUAGAUAUAUCCAAAAUCACCUAACGAAGCUACUGCAACUUUCAAAAUUCCAUUUCGACCACCGGAUAAAAAUCUCACUUAUCAACCGGAAUUUGCCAAAAUUCGAACCUAGCCAAUUCAAGCUUAAUUCUACAUCGGACCUCCAAAUUAAAUUUUGAUUUCGCUCGCAAGACAAAAUCACCAUCUGAAACUAGUCGAAUCAUCGGAAAUCCAUUCCGAGCCCUCUAACUCACAAGUCAACAUCCGGUUNNNNNNNNNNNNNNNNNNNNNNNNNNNNNNNNNNNNNNNNNNNNNNNNNNNNNNNNNNNUCAACAUCCGGUUGACUUUUCCAACUUAAGCUUUCCUUAAGGAGACUAUUGGUCUCAUUUCUAAUCAAAUUCAACCCAACACACUUCAAACUUACCAAACACAUAUAUCAACACACGGGAAAACAUAAUACGGGGAUAAUGAGGCAGAAAUACAAAAGACGACAGGUCGGGUCGUCACAUCCUCCCCAACUAAAACAAACACUCGUCCUCAAGCGGGUGAAGAAACAUACCUGUAGCCUCAAAUAAACGAGGAUAUCUACUCCGCAUCUCUUUCUC
Molecule: long non-coding RNA, 1352 nt
Filed under: Nicotiana benthamiana
Lineage: Eukaryota; Viridiplantae; Streptophyta; Magnoliopsida; Solanales; Solanaceae
Description: long non-coding RNA (NBEN_LNC027553)
Source: RNAcentral